UCGCCCUUAGUUGCCAGCAUUCAGUUGGGCACUCUAAGGGGACUGCCGGUGAUAAGCCGAGAGGAAGGUGGGGAUGACGUCAAGUCCUCAUGGCCCUUACGGGCUGGGCUACACACGUGCUACAAUGGUGGUGACAGUGGGCAGCGAGACAGCGAUGUCGAGCUAAUCUCCAAAAGCCAUCUCAGUUCGGAUUGCACUCUGCAACUCGAGUGCAUGAAGUUGGAAUCGCUAGUAAUCGCGGAUCAGCAUGCCGCGGUGAAUACGUUCCCGGGCCUU
RNAcentral lists this ribosomal RNA (276 nucleotides) under uncultured Rhizobiaceae bacterium. RNAcentral describes it as "partial 16S ribosomal RNA". It matches the Rfam family "Bacterial small subunit ribosomal RNA", at positions 1105 to 1382 of the family's 1533-position model. The record is from RNAcentral. Lineage: Bacteria; Pseudomonadati; Pseudomonadota; Alphaproteobacteria; Hyphomicrobiales; Rhizobiaceae.